This is a long non-coding RNA of Rhincodon typus (whale shark), 1369 nucleotides long. RefSeq lists it as uncharacterized. The transcript has 2 exons. Lineage: Eukaryota; Metazoa; Chordata; Chondrichthyes; Orectolobiformes; Rhincodontidae. The record is from RefSeq and is a predicted model, not a curated record.
UUCAGCUUCUGUUAAUGCUGUCUCAAGUUCAUCCCUGUACGCUGUAAAUUGAAUCACAUCGGCAUUUUUGUCCCAGGUUGCUUCCUGUAUAGAAUAUUAACCUAGUAACAAAUUUUAAAGCCAUAUUUUGGCAUCACCUAAUGAUUUUCGAAUGGACGUCCUUGUUUAACGAUUUGGAGACUUUGGCCUGAAAUACAUGAAGGACAGUGGUUUUCACCUUGAUCUCUUUACAAAAAAUAAUAUACCGGUUUACAACCUUUUUUUCUUAAAAAAAGCCUACUCUAUUCAUCGACUUUGAAAAUGAUAUCUGUGCAGUUUUGACUUUGAGCUUCACGCGGUUGUCAUGGACAGCUACAGUCCGCCGACGCUGGAAUUUAUACCCCGUGGAUUCGUUUACAUUUCACCCCACUUUAUUCGUGUUUCUAGUGAUGGGCAAGAAAGUGUUUAGUUUCCAUGAAUUGUGGAAAAUGCCUGCAAUCUUGUUGUUCUCGGAUACAAUUUCCAUGGAGCAGCAACUCGUCCGGAGCAGUUCACGGUUUAAGGGACACAUUGUUCUGAAUGAGUCAAUAAUUAAAAUCCCAUUGUGCAUAUAGAACAAGAAUCACUGUUUUAAAGAAAAGGGUUGCGAUGUAGACAGGUUGCUUUUGUUUAUUAAAAUAAAGUCACGGAAACGUUCCAUUGCUACCUAGCACUUUAAAAAUACUGUAAUCCCGUCGAAAAUAUGCACCUUGGGAAUAGACCUAUAAAUUCUUUCAUGCGGCGUAUUUACAGGGAAACGAAUUUAUUUCAAUUCAUGCUUCGAUUAAGAGAAAGAGAAUCUUAUUUUGUGAAACGUGCCCCGUUUCUUCCUCAUUCGCAGUAGAAUUAUACGAGUCAUCGGGACAAAAAAUAAGUUCGGGACUACGGAUAUUAAAAUGACACUGUGCCUUUUUUCGAGUCGCUUAGGUAACCAUUAAAAAUGCAAAUUAAACCUGUCAUGUUAAUCUGUCCUUUUGCGUAUGUGAUAAACUCGAUUGUUUUGUCGCGUUUGCAGAACAUUUAACGUUAGUUGUUACCGCUUAUGAAAAUCCAUAGCUUUAAAAUAUUUAUUUUUCGCAAAAGAGCUUCAUCCAAAAGGAAAAUGUUAGACAAACAUUAGAAAUUUAAAGGAAAGGUAAAAUUGUUAUAAAUACAGAGCAUCAAGCAAAUUGUGAAUACUAAAACGCGGACGAACGUUUCAGAUCUUUGCCAAUGAUUAACUUGCCCUUUGUCGCCAUCCUCCUAUGUACAUCCAGAAACACUCAUUUUCUUUCCGGACCAACCAUUUUCUUAGUCUCGCUCUUGUAUUUCUAUUUGUACUAGUUUCUAUUAAUAAAUACGUAGUAAACCA